RNAcentral lists this ribosomal RNA (430 nucleotides) under Pseudomonadota bacterium. RNAcentral describes it as "Proteobacteria bacterium partial 16S ribosomal RNA". It matches the Rfam family "Bacterial small subunit ribosomal RNA", at positions 355 to 776 of the family's 1533-position model. Lineage: Bacteria; Pseudomonadati; Pseudomonadota. The record is from RNAcentral.
UGGGGAAUAUUGGACAAUGGGCGAAAGUCUGAUCCAGCCAUGCCGCGUGUGUGAAGAAGGCCUUAUGGUUGUAAAGCACUUUAAGCGAGGAGGAGGGUACUGGUAUUAAUACUACCAGCUACUGGACGUUACUCGCAGAAUAAGCACCGGCUAACUCUGUGCCAGCAGCCGCGGUAAUACAGAGGGUGCGAGCGUUAAUCGGAAUUACUGGGCGUAAAGCGUGCGUAGGCGGCUAAUUGAGUCGGAUGUGAAAUCCCCGAGCUUAACUUGGGAAUUGCAUUCGAUACUGGUUAGCUAGAGUGUGGGAGAGGAUGGUAGAAUUCCAGGUGUAGCGGUGAAAUGCGUAGAGAUCUGGAGGAAUACCGAUGGCGAAGGCAGCCAUCUGGCCUAACACUGACGCUGAGGUACGAAAGCAUGGGGAGCAAACAGG